Molecule: long non-coding RNA, 580 nt
Filed under: Homo sapiens (human)
Lineage: Eukaryota; Metazoa; Chordata; Mammalia; Primates; Hominidae
Description: long intergenic non-protein coding RNA 1350
Source: RNAcentral
UUCAGGCAAGGCCAAGGCUUCUUGAAAGGCUGGUCAUGCCCCAGUGAUCAAUGAAGAACUCAGGGAUAUCCCAAAACUCAGGACUAUAAGGCACAAUGGGGGAGCAGGUACCAGGUGGCCAGCAUCCUAAAUGACUCUCAGCAGCUGCAGAGAACAUUCUCAUAAAAGAGAAUCAGUCAUCCUGAGUGUAAAUAACAAGAGCUGCCUAUAAAUCUACCUCAGAAGACAAAGGGAAAAGCAAAACUCUGCCCAGGAAGACCUUACUUUACAAACCAGCUCAACCAUAUUUACCAGCCUUCCUGUGGUCAUUUGUCUGAGCUCCAGCUAGUGAAGUAUGAGUAGAACGGACAUGCACCACUUCCAGACCUGGCACCGGCAAACCCCCCAUGGCAACCCUCCAACCCUUUCCUCAACAACUGGACCACGCUGGAAAGGACUGAGGAUCUAGAGGAGGACAGGGCUGUAAUAUGGAAGGAGUUUGGUUUCUGAAGGACCAUGUAGCAGGCCACCUGCAGGGCGGGAACAUCUUUAAUAGGUUUGGAAUAGCAAGAAAUAAACUGGUCUUGUAUUAAACAACUAA